UAGGGAAUCUUCCACAAUGGACGCAAGUCUGAUGGAGCAACGCCGCGUGAGUGAAGAAGGGUUUCGGCUCGUAAAGCUCUGUUGUUAAAGAAGAACGUGGGUAAGAGUAACUGUUUACCCAGUGACGGUAUUUAACCAGAAAGCCACGGCUAACUACGUGCCGG
This 164-nucleotide ribosomal RNA is filed under the name uncultured bacterium. RNAcentral's name for it is "partial 16S ribosomal RNA". It matches the Rfam family "Bacterial small subunit ribosomal RNA", at positions 355 to 511 of the family's 1533-position model. The record is from RNAcentral.